Mus musculus (house mouse) is the source of this 890-nucleotide long non-coding RNA. RefSeq annotates it as predicted gene, 41178. Lineage: Eukaryota; Metazoa; Chordata; Mammalia; Rodentia; Muridae. The transcript is spliced from 2 exons. The record is from RefSeq and is a predicted model, not a curated record.
UCUAGGGGAAGAAAAUGAAUUACUUCUCUCAGAGUACUGGACUAGCAACAGCAAUAGACAAGGAACACAAGAACCUUCACCACCUUCCCAGCCAUCCUCAUCCUCACUAUGGCAAUGCUGAUAACAGUGAUGAGGACUAUAGCCAUUGUCCCAGGAGCCCUUGGAUGACCUACAAUCACUUAAGAAACAAACCUCUUGGCACGUCUGUGAGGGAGUUUCUGGACUGAGAAGACCCUCCAGAACUGGGGCAGCAGCGUCCUGUGCACUGAGGUUCCAGACAGAAUGAAGAGGAGACAGUGAACUAAGCACCAGCUUUCAACCUCAGCUUCCUGGCUGAGGGCGCAAUGUGAGCAGCCACCUCACCACCCUUCAGCCAUGACUUCCCACCACUGAGGACUGAAUGUGCCCUUGUACCGGGAGCCAGAAUAAACCUUCCUUUCUCUGAGUUGCUUUUUCCAGGUGUUCUGUCACAGCAAUGAAGAAAGCAAAUUGAUACAACACUGUUGGAAAUCAUGAUCAUUAAAAAAACAAAACAAAACAAGGGAAGUAUUUAAGUAUCAGUGACUGUAACAUGUAGAAAAAUCAGUAAUUCUGAAAGGCACAAAAUGCUUGGCCCGCUAACUGGCAAUAAUGAAAUUCACAACAAUGAAGUAAGCAAGUUUUGCUCUUACCAUUUGAAAUCUUUUCUGCUGAGGCUGGGGUUAAACCCUGGGCCUGAUGCAUGGUAGGAAAGAGCUAAGUCUACCUACUGCUGAGUUAUAUUUCCACCCUUGAUAUAGUCAUAGCCAUUAUAUUUCCACCUUUCAGGAAUUCUGUCAUCAUGAAUGGAUGCUGAAUUUUGUUAGAUGACUUGCUUGUAUAUCUGUAUUAAAAUGAUCUUGUGUCUCUUC